UACCAGCACCCCGAGUGGUCGGGACGUUUAUUGGACCUAAAGCAUCCGUAGCCGGUCCUGCAAGUCUUCCGUUAAAUCCAGCUGCUCAACAGAUGGGCUGCGGGGGAUACUACAGGGCUAGGAGGCGGGAGAGGCAAGCGGUACUUUAUGGGUAGGGGUAAAAUCCGUUGAUCCAUAGAAGACCACCAGUGGCGAAGGCGGCUUGCCAGAACGCGCUCGACGGUGAGGGAUGAAAGCUGGGGGAGCAAACCGG
This 253-nucleotide ribosomal RNA is filed under the name uncultured bacterium. Its description in RNAcentral is "partial 16S ribosomal RNA". It matches the Rfam family "Archaeal small subunit ribosomal RNA", at positions 474 to 727 of the family's 1478-position model. The record is from RNAcentral.